GACUAUACUUCAGAGUUUGAUCCUGGCUCAGGAUGAACGCUGACAGAAUGCUUAACACAUGCAAGUCGACUCGAGUCUUCGGACUUGGGUGGCGCACGGGUGAGUAACGCGUAAAGAACCUGCCUCAUAGACUGGGACAACUACUGGAAACGGUAGCUAAUACCGGAUAAUAUUUAAAAUCGCAUGGAGAUAAAUUAAAAGUCGGUGCAAGCUGACACUAUGAGAUGGCUUUGCGGUGCAUUAGCUAGUUGGUAGGGUAAAGGCCUACCAAGGCGACGAUGCAUAGCCGACCUGAGAGGGUGAUCGGCCACACUGGGACUGAGACACGGCCCAG
RNAcentral lists this ribosomal RNA (334 nucleotides) under uncultured bacterium. Its description in RNAcentral is "bacterial SSU rRNA". It matches the Rfam family "Bacterial small subunit ribosomal RNA", at positions 1 to 334 of the family's 1533-position model. The record is from RNAcentral.